This 457-nucleotide ribosomal RNA is filed under the name uncultured bacterium. RNAcentral's name for it is "bacterial SSU rRNA". It matches the Rfam family "Bacterial small subunit ribosomal RNA", at positions 340 to 789 of the family's 1533-position model. The record is from RNAcentral.
UACGGAAGGCAGCAGUGGGGAAUAUUGCACAAUGGGCGCAAGCCUGAUGCAGCCAUGCCGCGUGUAUGAAAAAGGCCUUCGGGUUGUAAAGUACCUUCAGUCGUGAGGAAGGUGUUAAGGUUAAUAACCUUAGCAAUUGACGUUAGCGACAGAAGAAGCACCGGCUAACUCCGUGCCAGCAGCCGCGGUAAUACGGAGGGUGCGAGCGUUAAUCGGAAUUACUGGGCGUAAAGGGCACGCAGGCGGUUAAUUAAGUUGGAUGUGAAAUCCCCGGGCUUAACCUGGGAAUGGCAUUCAAGACUGGUUAGCUAGAGUCUUGUAGAGGGGGUAGAAUUCCAUGUGUAGCGGUGAAAUGCGUAGAGAUGUGGAGGAAUACCGGUGGCGAAGGCGGCCCCUGGACAAAGACUGACGCUCAUGUGCGAAAGCGUGGGGAGCAAACGAGGGAUUAGAUACCCGU